This 947-nucleotide unclassified non-coding RNA is filed under the name Sitophilus oryzae (rice weevil). RNAcentral describes it as "uncharacterized LOC115883510, transcript variant X3". Lineage: Eukaryota; Metazoa; Arthropoda; Insecta; Coleoptera; Curculionidae. The record is from RNAcentral.
ACAUAAUCUAAAUUCUGGUAGUCGAAAAUCAGCUUUUUUCGUGCAUCUGAGAGUGUUGGUUGUAAUAAGUGGAAAAUGUCUGAAAUUCGGAGCGGCUGAAGUCGUCGAUAAAACUGGGAGUUUUUGCGUAAACUUUUCCUGGAUCGGGACCGACUCUGAGCCUGGAUUUGGGAAUGUGGCGGUAAAGAAGGUGUUCGAAUGAGGACUGCGAUAUCGUGCCGGUUUUCUAUGCCUGGAAGAGGUCCGCGCGCUUGCGCCUACGCUGAAUUUGUUAACGUUUUUUUGUGUGUAAAGCCUUUUUUGAUGAUGGUUUGGGAGAGGAAAUGUUUUGAUUGGUUAAUUAAAACGCUGGAAAAUAGUUUUUAUAUGCGUCCGAUGAACGGACGUUGAAAAUACAAGGUUAUUAUAAUCGUUUGUAUUGUUUAUACGGUACUUGCGAGAGAGUCGAAGGAGCCUAUAGAUUCAAUAAGAGCUUUUGUAUAUGUUGGCUGUCUUAUUACGAUCUCAAUUGUAUUGCUCAUUGUGUCUUAUUUAAUAUUCUGUAAAUGCGAUUUUAAGAGUUGGUUUCCCGGUUUUGGUUUCUUUUUGUUAGUAGUUUGUUUGCUGAUACUGAUUGUUAUCACAUUAACUGACGAUGAAUUAAGUCUACCUCACUUGGUGCCAUUUAUAGUUGUAUUUUGUCUAUUUUUGCUUUACACAGAAUGUAUAUCAAGGCAUUAUUCAAAUUGUAUAGAAAAAUCAAGAAUAGAACGAGAAAGGUAUCUAAGCCUUGCAAUUCCUACUGCUUUAAGAGGAAAAUGUGAACGAGUCCCAUUAAAAAGUCCAAGCACUGAGAGUAGAACCUCUAAAAAUUCUACCAGAGGGUUGAGAAGCAACGACAAUAGAGGAAGAAAUUAAACACGUCACGUUAUGUUAACAAAAUAGAUUAAUAAACAAUUUCUAUUCUC